UUUGCAGAGAUGCGAAUGUGCCUUCGGGAACUGUGAGACAGGUGCUGCAUGGCUGUCGUCAGCUCGUGUUGUGAAAUGUUGGGUUAAGUCCCGCAACGAGCGCAACCCUUAUCCUUUGUUGCCAGCGGUUAGGCCGGGAACUCAAAGGAGACUGCCAGUGAUAAACUGGAGGAAGGUGGGGAUGACGUCAAGUCAUCAUGGCCCUUACGACCAGGGCUACACACGUGCUACAAUGGCGCAUACAAAGAGAAGCGACCUCGCGAGAGCAAGCGGACCUCAUAAAGUGCGUCGUAGUCCGGAUUGGAGUCUGCAACUCGACUCCAUGAAGUCGGAAUCGCUAGUAAUCGUGGAUCAGAAUGCCACGGUGAAUACGUUCCCGGGCCUUGUACACACCGCCCGUCACACCAUGGGAGUGGGUUGCAAAAGAAGUAGGUAGCUUAACCUUCGGGAGGGCGCUUACCACUUUGUGAUUCAUGACUGGGGUGAAGUCGUAACAAGGUAACCGUAGGGGAACCUGCGGUUGGAUCACCUCCUUACCUGAAAGAA
RNAcentral lists this ribosomal RNA (546 nucleotides) under Salmonella enterica. RNAcentral's name for it is "bacterial SSU rRNA". It matches the Rfam family "Bacterial small subunit ribosomal RNA", at positions 997 to 1533 of the family's 1533-position model. Lineage: Bacteria; Pseudomonadati; Pseudomonadota; Gammaproteobacteria; Enterobacterales; Enterobacteriaceae. RNAcentral also lists the same sequence under 1 other name. The record is from RNAcentral.